Molecule: long non-coding RNA, 542 nt
Organism: Salvelinus namaycush (lake trout)
Lineage: Eukaryota; Metazoa; Chordata; Actinopteri; Salmoniformes; Salmonidae
Exons: 3
Source: RefSeq, a predicted model, not a curated record
CUUCAGAUGUGACUUCAAAAGACAAUUGUACCCGUCAAUUAUUUGGCUGGGACAGUGACAUGGCUGCUGUCUUGCUGCUGCUACCACCAGCUGUGCAAGGUUGUAAGAAGCCUGGAAAGAUGUCUGCAUGUCAAGCGGAAGAUCAGCUUAUCAAAUUUCAAAAGGUUGGAACCAGUGUGCAGCAGCAUCUGGACAGCAUCACCCAAAGCAGUCAGCCUUACCUUCUUGCCUUGGGAUCCACAAAGAGAAGCAUUCACUCCUACUUUGUUGUGAUCGACAAGCAUGUGGUUCCAUGCAAAGGCAACGGCCUCAGUGGGAGCCUUUGAUGAACUCUUUAAGGCUCACUUCGUCUUUGGUACGUCAUACAGUUCUUGCCUGAGUAACUCCUUCACUUUUGUGCAAACAACCAUCUAUAACAUUGAUAUGGGGGAAACAAAGGAGACUCCCCAAGUUGCUGAGUUGAGAGCAAGAAUGUUGCGUUGGUGAAGAUCUGCUGAGGUGAAAUGAUGAAGUGUUUUCUAUGCAAGACUGAGCAUAAAAGU